Cinara cedri is the source of this 226-nucleotide non-coding RNA. The record is from the annotation of a GenBank genome assembly. Lineage: Eukaryota; Metazoa; Arthropoda; Insecta; Hemiptera; Aphididae.
AAAAAACCAACUCAUAAAAUACAAAUAAUGUUCUUCUCUUUAAGUUUCACAUAAAGACAUUUUUCUUCAAUAUUAAAAUAAACAGCAAAAAAUCGGUUCUGCCAAACACAAAUUUUCUUUAUCGAGCGUUUGUAAAACGAAAUUAAGAAAUGAAUGUGCAUCAUUAUCUUAAAAGUAUAUAUUGUGCAUAAGCAUAUAACUAUAUAUGCACUGUUAAAGAUCGUUA